Molecule: ribosomal RNA, 375 nt
Filed under: uncultured bacterium
Lineage: Bacteria
Description: partial 16S ribosomal RNA
Rfam family: Bacterial small subunit ribosomal RNA
Source: RNAcentral
UGGGGAAUAUUGCACAAUGGGCGCAAGCCUGAUGCAGCCAUGCCGCGUGUGUGAAGAAGGCCUUCGGGUUGUAAAGCACUUUCAGCGAGGAGGAAAGGUGGUGAGCUUAAUACGCUCAUCAAUUGACGUUACUCGCAGAAGAAGCACCGGCUAACUCCGUGCCAGCAGCCGCGGUAAUNCGGAGGGUGCAAGCGUUAAUCGGAAUUACUGGGCGUAAAGCGCACGCAGGCGGUUUGUUAAGUCAGAUGUGAAAUCCCCGGGCUCAACCUGGGAACUGCAUUUGAAACUGGCAAGCUAGAUCUCGUAGAGGGGGGUAGAAUUCCAGGUGUAGCGGUGAAAUGCGUAGAGAUCUGGAGGAAUACCGGUGGCGAAGGC